RNAcentral lists this ribosomal RNA (492 nucleotides) under uncultured bacterium. RNAcentral describes it as "partial 16S ribosomal RNA". It matches the Rfam family "Bacterial small subunit ribosomal RNA", at positions 29 to 507 of the family's 1533-position model. The record is from RNAcentral.
AGUGAACGCUGGCGGUAGACCUAACACAUGCAAGUCGAACGGCAGCACAGUAAGAGCUUGCUCUUACGGGUGGCGAGUGGCGGACGGGUGAGGAAUACAUCGGAAUCUACUUUUUCGUGGGGGAUAACGUAGGGAAACUUACGCUAAUACCGCAUACGACCUACGGGUGAAAGCAGGGGAUCUUCGGACCUUGCGCGAUUGAAUGAGCCGAUGUCGGAUUAGCUAGUUGGCGGGGUAAAGGCCCACCAAGGCGACGAUCCGUAGCUGGUCUGAGAGGAUGAUCAGCCACAUUGUAACUGAGACACGGCCCAGACGCCUACGGGAGGCAGCAGUGGGGAAUAUUGGACAAUGGGCGCAAGCCUGAUCCAGCCAUACCGCGUGGGUGAAGAAGGCCUUCGGGUUGUAAAGCCCUUUUGUUGGGAAAGAAAAGCAGCAGGUUAAUACCCCGCUGUUCUGACGGUACCCAAAGAAUAAGCACCGGCUAACUUCGUG